CCCAGCUCCACUUACCAGGCCGCGGCUACCCCGUCGCCCCCGCCACUCCCGCCACCCCGCUCUCCCAGGCUCUUCAGGAUCCAAGUUUGUAGGCCCUUUAAGGGGUCUAGUUGCCCUUUGCGGGGCCCUGGGACUUUGGUCCCAGACAGGGGGGAUCCGGAUGGCUUCCGUGCGGAUCCGAGAGGCCAAGGAGGGAGACUGUGGGGAUAUCCUGAGGUUGAUUCGGGUGAAGACUGUGGGCCGGAAACCAGGGGGUCAGAGUGGCGCGGCCAGGACGGGGACGCAGGAGGCGGGGGCAGGGGAGGGGCUCGCCUUGGGACCCCGCUCGGGGAGCAGCGGGGCCCUUCUGCUCUAAUCUAGCUUCCGUACCCACGCCUUAGGAACUAGCCGAGUUCGAAAAACUCUCGGAUCAGGUGAAGAUCAGUGAGGAAGGUGGGGGCUCAGCGCCCAGGUUCUGGCGGAGGCUGGGGAGGAAAUAAGGGAUGGGUUCCCCAGGCGACAGCUCCAGGCUGGGCAUACACCCAGGUCCUCUUUCUCUAUCUCUUUGUUACAACUCCAAUCUCGGCAGCCCUGAGAGCAGAUGGCUUUGGAGAGAAUCCUUUCUAUCACUGUUUGGUAGCAGAGAUUCUUCCAGCGCCCGGGGAGCUACUGGGUAAGAGCACCUGGUCCUUAGAAGUCCACCUCUCCAGCCGGCCUCAGAGGUCUCCCCACAGGCUCCCAGAAGCCUUACUCCCCUUUUCUCACUCUCAGGGCCCUGCGUGGUGGGCUAUGGGAUAUACUAUUUCAUCUACAGUACAUGGAAGGGACGCACCAUUUAUCUGGAGGAUAUCUAUGUGAUGCCGGAAUAUCGGGGUACUGGGCAGAAGCUGAGGCUGGGGUGGGAGCAAAGCACCCCACAGACCCCACCAUCAUCCCCUGUCCCCAGAUCCCAGCCUGUGUCCUUUUCUGAUCCCCUUCAGCUCAAACAAUAGCUAUUUUUUGCCUCUUCCUCUCCACAACAGGUCAAGGGAUUGGUUCCAAAAUAAUCAAAAAGGUGGCUGAGGUGAGGAGAGGGGUGGGGGCGACAAGUGAGGACCUGAAGAGGCAAGGGUAUAUGGAGGGGGAGACCUGGGUUGAAUGAGGGAGUGAGAAAACCUUUUUCUUUUUUGACCCCAGAAAAGUUAGUGUUGUCUUCUCCCACAGGUGGCCUUGGAUAAGGGCUGCUCCCAAUUCCGCCUGGCCGUCCUGGACUGGAACCAGAGGGCUAUGGACUUGUACAAGGCCUUAGGAGCCCAAGAUCUGACGGAAGCUGAGGGCUGGCACUUCUUCUGCUUUCAAGGAGAGGCAAUGAGAAAGUUGGCAGGAAAGUGACGCCAUCCCUAGGGGGAUCUCUCUCUUGAGUUUCUCCUUCCCCACCAGCUCAAGCACUCUUCAGAGACUACGUCCACAGACACUGACGCUGAGGCCUCCCUGGAGGAAGGAGGGUUGGGGGUGCCUAUCCUCAAGUAUUGGAAGAGCAGAAUUGAGGGAGAGACCUUUCUUCCUUGUUGAGGGUGAAAAAUAAAUAAGAAAUAAGAAUUACAUGUCCUGA
RNAcentral lists this small RNA (1570 nucleotides) under Pongo abelii (Sumatran orangutan). Its description in RNAcentral is "retained intron". Lineage: Eukaryota; Metazoa; Chordata; Mammalia; Primates; Hominidae. The record is from RNAcentral.